GAACUCUGGUAUUGAUUGGUGCUUGCAUCAUGAUUUACAUUUGAGUGAGUGGCGAACUGGUGAGUAACACGUGGGAAACCUGCCCAGAAGCGGGGGAUAACACCUGGAAACAGAUGCUAAUACCGCAUAACAACUUGGACCGCAUGGUCCGAGUUUGAAAGAUGGCUUCGGCUAUCACUUUUGGAUGGUCCCGCGGCGUAUUAGCUAGAUGGUGGGGUAACGGCUCACCAUGGCAAUGAUACGUAGCCGACCUGAGAGGGUAAUCGGCCACAUUGGGACUGAGACACGGCCCAAACUCCUACGGGAGGCAGCAGUAGGGAAUCUUCCACAAUGGACGAAAGUCUGAUGGAGCAACGCCGCGUGAGUGAAGAAGGGUUUCGGCUCGUAAAACUCUGUUGUUAAAGAAGAACAUAUCUGAGAGUAACUGUUCAGGUAUUGACGGUAUUUAACCAGAAAGCCACGGCUAACUACGUGCCAGCAGCCGCGGUAAUACGUAGGUGGCAAGCGUUGUCCGGAUUUAUUGGGCGUAAAGCGAGCGCAGGCGGUUUUUUAAGUCUGAUGUGAAAGCCUUCGGCUCAACCGAAGAAGUGCAUCGGAAACUGGGAAACUUGAGUGCAGAAGAGGACAGUGGAACUCCAUGUGUAGCGGUGAAAUGCGUAGAUAUAUGGAAGAACACCAGUGGCGAAGGCGGCUGUCUGGUCUGUAACUGACGCUGAGGCUCGAAAGUAUGGGUAGCAAACAGGAUUAGAUACCCUGGUAGUCCAUACCGUAAACGAUGAAUGCUAAGUGUUGGAGGGUUUCCGCCCUUCAGUGCUGCAGCUA
This 822-nucleotide ribosomal RNA is filed under the name Lactiplantibacillus plantarum. RNAcentral describes it as "bacterial SSU rRNA". It matches the Rfam family "Bacterial small subunit ribosomal RNA", at positions 64 to 854 of the family's 1533-position model. The record is from RNAcentral. Lineage: Bacteria; Bacillati; Bacillota; Bacilli; Lactobacillales; Lactobacillaceae.